Molecule: long non-coding RNA, 566 nt
Organism: Manis pentadactyla (Chinese pangolin)
Lineage: Eukaryota; Metazoa; Chordata; Mammalia; Pholidota; Manidae
Exons: 2
Source: RefSeq, a predicted model, not a curated record
UGUGACAACAGGCUCUUAUAUGUAUAUAUAAUGGGCACUGUUAAGGUCAGGUGGGAAUCCUGGUCAGAAAUGUCCAUUUUCCCAUACCAUACAGACUGAGAACAAGGAAGGAAGAAGUCAUUUUCUAAACUGAUGGUGAGCAGACAAAAAGUGAGAGAACAACUACUUCCUCUCCAGAAGAUCAUCACAGACUGACUACAGUUGUGAUUACAAGAGGACAAAAGCAGUUCACAUUCGGCAUCGAGACGCUGCGCGAUUUUGCCCAGGUCCAUGUUAACUCUCCUGCCCUCUGCCAUAAUAGUCUGAAGAGACAUGGACAUCUGGUCACCCCAUAGAAAGUCACAUCAAAACUGUUAUUACACCUGUUGAGCUGGAUGAGCCACAAGUGGUUCAUCACUGGAGGCCGUGGCAUGACACUUACUUGAGUGUGGGAAAUAAACCUUAAAAUUGUUUUCAUUUAAACUUCUCCAGGAAAGGAAAAUGAUUUGGAGGUUGAUAAAGCAUACUUAAAAUAACCAAUAACCAAUGCAACCAAUAUACUAAUAGUCAAAUAACAGAAACUAGAA